GAGGGUAUAGCUCAGUGGUAGAGUGUGUGCUUAGCUUGUACAAGGUCCUGGGUUCAAUCCUCAGUACCUCCA
This is a transfer RNA of Camelus ferus (Wild Bactrian camel), 72 nucleotides long. It matches the Rfam family "tRNA". Rfam says of the family: Transfer RNA (tRNA) molecules are approximately 80 nucleotides in length. Their secondary structure includes four short double-helical elements and three loops (D, anti-codon, and T loops). NCBI's taxonomy places the organism in Eukaryota, Metazoa, Chordata, Mammalia, Artiodactyla, Camelidae. The record is from Rfam.